UCCGCCAAGGAGUGUGUAACAACUCACCUGCCGAAUGAAUUAGCCCUGAAAAUGGAUGGCGCUGAAGCGGGCGGCCGACACCAUGCCGUCUGGACAAGAAAUGUUUUCAGAUGAGUAGGAGGGCGUGGCGGCCGUGUCGAAGCGCGCUUGCAGAAGCGUGUGGAACGGCCGCUAGUGCAGAUCUUGGUGGUAGUAGCAAGUAUUCAAGCGAGAUCCUUGAAGGGCGAAGUGGGGAAGGGUUUCACGCGAACAUUGAUUGGGCGUGAGUGAGUCGUUCCUAAGCCGAGUGGCAAUUGCUAAUUAACGGCGAAAGGGAAGCGGGUUGACAUUCCCGCACACGGAUGUGGAGGCGGCGACGCAUUAUUGGGGCGAACACGCUGGCGAUGGCGCUGGGCAGAGUUGUCUUUUCUGUUUGACCGCUUGCGCACGCAGUGUGGAAUCCGCUUGUCGGGAGAAACACGCGUGUACGGGCAGAGCGCUGGGGCUUUUCCAGCGUCCAGCUCGCCAUCGACGGCCCUUGAAACUUUGCCUGCUGAAUUUAAGAUCCACGCCGUGGCGUACCGAUCACCGCAUCAGGUCCCCAAGGUGAACAGCCUCUGCUCAAUAUGAAAAAUGCAGGUAAGGGAAGUCGGCAAAUUGGACCCGUAACUUUGGGAAAAGGGUUGGCUCUAGUGCUGCGUGGGAGUGGUUGUCGGAUGCUGGCGCUUUUAGCGUGGCGGAUUGGCGCGGUACUCCUCUUUUGGGGCGCUGUUCCUGCUGCUACGCCGAUUGUGCCACGCCCGACGACGCCCACAGCAUGCAGCAGACUAGAACUGCAACGGGCAAAGGGAAUCCGACUGUUUAAUUAAAACAAAGCAUUGCGAGGCCCCAGCGGGUGUUGACGCGAUGUGAUUUCUGCCCCAGUGCUCUGAAUGUCAAAGAGUGAAGAAAUUCAAUGAAGCGCGGGUAAACAGCGGGGAGUAACUAUGACUCUCUUAAGGUUAGCCAAAUGCCUCGUCAUCUAAUUAGUGACGCGCCAUGAAUGGAUGAACGAGAUUCCCACUGUCCCUACCUACUAUCUAGCGAAACCACAGCCCAGGGGAACGGGCUUGGCGGAAUCAGGGGGAAGAAGACCCUGUUGAGCUUUGACUCUAGUCUGACUUUGUGAAAUGACUUGAGAGGUGUAGGAUAAGUGGGAGCCCUCGGGCGCAAGUGAAAUACCACUACUUUUAACGUUAUUUUACUUAUUCCGUGGGUCGGAAGCGGGGCACCGCCCCUCCUUUUGGCUCCAAGGCCCGGCCUCGCCGGGCCGAUCCGGGCGGAAGACAUUGUCAGGUGGGGAGUUUGGCUGGGGCGGUUCGGGACCGCCGGUGAAAUACCACUACUCUUAUCGUUUCCUCACUUACCCGGUGAGGCGGGGAGGCGAGCCCCCCGGCGGGCUCUCGCUUUUGGUGUCAAGGGGCGCGGGAGCGACCCCGAGCCGCGACCCGCUCCUCCCGAGCCGCGACCCGCUCCGGGGACAGUGGCAGGGGGGAGGUUGACUGGGGCGGUACACCUGUCAAACUGUAACGCAGGGGUCCUAAGGCGAGCUCGGGGAGGACAGAAACCUCCCGUGGAGCAGGAAGGGCAAAAGCUCGCUUGAUCUUUAUUUUCAGUAUGAAUACGGACCUUGAAAGCGGCCUCACACGAUCCUUCUGGCUUUUUGGGUUUUUAAGCAGGAGGUGUCAGAAAAGUUACCACAGGGAUAACUGGCUUGUGGCAGCCAAGCGUUCAUAGCGACGUCGCCUUUUUGAUCCUUCGAUUGUCGGCUCUUCCUAUCAUUGUGUAGCAGAAUACGCCAAGUGUCGGAUUGUUCACCCGCCAACAGGGAACGUGAGCUGGGAUUAGACCGUCGUGAGACAAAGCAGAAUUCACCCAGGUGUUGGAUUGUUCACCCACUAAUAGGGAACGUGAGCUUGGGUUAGACCGUCGUGAGACAGGUUAU
This 1963-nucleotide ribosomal RNA is filed under the name Alosa alosa (allis shad). RNAcentral describes it as "eukaryotic LSU rRNA". It matches the Rfam family "Eukaryotic large subunit ribosomal RNA", at positions 1267 to 3401 of the family's 3401-position model. The record is from RNAcentral. Lineage: Eukaryota; Metazoa; Chordata; Actinopteri; Clupeiformes; Clupeidae.